CCUACGGGGGGCUGCAGUGAGGAAUAUUGGGCAAUGCCCGCAAGGGUGACCCAGCAACGCCGCGUGGAGGAUGAAGGCCGUAAGGUUGUAAACUCCUGUUAGAGGAGAAGAAUAGUACCGAUUGGAUCGGUAUUUGACUGUACCCUCAGAGAAAGCCCCGGCUAACUACGUGCCAGCAGCCGCGGUAAUACGGAGGGGGCAAGCUUUACUCGGAUUUACGGGGUGGCAGGCGGGCUAGCGCGGCAUAGCAGAAAUCCUACAGCUUAACUGUAGAACUGCCUUUGAUACUGUUAUUCUUGAGUUCGGGAGAGAGAGACGGAAUUCCAGGUGUAGUGGUGAAAUACGUAGAUAUCUGGAAGAACACCAGUUGCGAAGGCGGUCUCUUGGUCCGAUACUGACGCUGAGGCGCGAAAGCGUGGGGAGCAAACAGGAUUAGAUACCCUUGUAGUC
Molecule: ribosomal RNA, 450 nt
Filed under: uncultured bacterium
Lineage: Bacteria
Description: partial 16S ribosomal RNA
Rfam family: Bacterial small subunit ribosomal RNA
Source: RNAcentral